This 206-nucleotide ribosomal RNA is filed under the name uncultured bacterium. RNAcentral's name for it is "partial 16S ribosomal RNA". It matches the Rfam family "Bacterial small subunit ribosomal RNA", at positions 568 to 774 of the family's 1533-position model. The record is from RNAcentral.
UGCGUAGGUGGCAGAACAAGUCUGGAGUAAAAGGUAUGGGCUCAACCCGUACUGGCUCUGGAAACUGUUCAGCUAGAGAACAGAAGAGGACGGCGGAACUCCAUGUGUAGCGGUAAAAUGCGUAGAUAUAUGGAAGAACACCGGUGGCGAAGGCGGCCGUCUGGUCUGUUGCUGACACUGAAGCACGAAAGCGUGGGGAGCAAAUA